GGAAGGAUCAUUACCGAAUUGUCAAACACGGGUUGUUGCUGGCCCCCGAACGGGGCAUGUGCACGCUCUGUUUACACAUCCACUCACACCUGUGCACCCUCUGUAGUUCUGUGGACCGGGAGACGUCGUCUUCCUUCCGUAGCUCUACGUCUUUACACACACACCGUAGCGAUGUCUCAUGGAAUGUUUUUUUUCGCGUUUAACGCAAUACAAUACAACUUUCAGCAAC
This 229-nucleotide unclassified non-coding RNA is filed under the name uncultured fungus. RNAcentral's name for it is "sequence contains ITS1, 5.8S rRNA gene, ITS2 and 28S rRNA gene". The record is from RNAcentral. Lineage: Eukaryota; Fungi.